This 274-nucleotide ribosomal RNA is filed under the name uncultured prokaryote. Its description in RNAcentral is "partial 16S ribosomal RNA". It matches the Rfam family "Bacterial small subunit ribosomal RNA", at positions 355 to 623 of the family's 1533-position model. The record is from RNAcentral.
UGGGGAAUCAUGGUCAAUGGGCGAAAGCCUGAACCUGCGACGCCGCGUGAGUGAUGAAGGUCGUAAGAUCGUAAAACUCUUUUCAGGGAUCUUAAAGCCUGUCUGUCAACAACAGGCAGGUCUGACUCUCCCUGGAAGAAGCCCCAGCCAACUACGUGCCAGCAGCUGCGGUAAUACGUAGGGGGCGAGCGUUAUUCGGAAUUACUGGGUGUAAAGGGUAUGUAGGCGGCCUUUCAAGUCGCGUGUCAAAGUCCAGGGCUCAACGCUGGGGGUG